This 333-nucleotide ribosomal RNA is filed under the name uncultured soil bacterium. RNAcentral's name for it is "bacterial SSU rRNA". It matches the Rfam family "Bacterial small subunit ribosomal RNA", at positions 27 to 386 of the family's 1533-position model. The record is from RNAcentral.
GGAACGAACGCUGGUGGCAUGCCUAAUACAUGCAAGUCGAACGAACUCUUCGGAGUUAGUGGCGCACGGGUGCGUAACGCGUGGGAAUCUGCCCCUUGGUUCGGAAUAACAGUUGGAAACGACUGCUAAUACCGGAUGAUGACGAAAGUCCAAAGAUUUAUCGCCAAGGGAUGAGCCCGCGUAGGAUUAGCUAGUUGGUGAGGUAAAGGCUCACCAAGGCAACGAUCCUUAGCUGGUCUGAGAGGAUGAUCAGCCACACUGGGACUGAGACACGGCCCAGACUCCUACGGGAGCAGCAGUAGGGAAUAUUGGACAAGUGGGACGAAAGCCUAG